AGAGUUUGAUCAUGGCUCAGGACGAACGCUGGCGGCGUGCUUAACACAUGCAAGUCGAGCGGUGAAGCCCUUCGGGGUGGAUCAGCGGCGAACGGGUGAGUAACACGUGAGCAACCUACCCCUGACACUGGGAUAAGCCCGGGAAACUGGGUCUAAUACCGGAUAUGAUGACCGCAGGCAUCUGCGGACAUGGAAAGGAUUCUGGUCAGGGAUGGGCUCGCGGCCUAUCAGCUUGUUGGCGGGGUAACGGCCCACCAAGGCGACGACGGGUAGCCGGCCUGAGAGGGCGACCGGCCACACUGGGACUGAGACACGGCCCAGACUCCUACGGGAGGCAGCAGUGGGGAAUAUUGCGCAAUGGGCGAAAGCCUGACGCAGCAACGCCGCGUGGGGGAUGAAGGCCUUCGGGUUGUAAACCUCUUUCAGCAGGGAAGAAGCGAAAGUGACGGUACCUGCAGAAGAAGCACCGGCUAACUACGUGCCAGCCGCCGCGGUAAUUC
Molecule: ribosomal RNA, 500 nt
Filed under: uncultured bacterium
Lineage: Bacteria
Description: bacterial SSU rRNA
Rfam family: Bacterial small subunit ribosomal RNA
Source: RNAcentral